This 492-nucleotide ribosomal RNA is filed under the name uncultured bacterium. RNAcentral describes it as "partial 16S ribosomal RNA". It matches the Rfam family "Bacterial small subunit ribosomal RNA", at positions 29 to 507 of the family's 1533-position model. The record is from RNAcentral.
AGUGAACGCUGGCGGUAGGCCUAACACAUGCAAGUCGAACGGCAGCACAGUAAGAUCUUGGGCUUACGGGGUGCGAGUGGCGGACGGGAGAGGAAUACAUCGUAAUCUACUUUUUCGUGUGGGAUAAGGUAGGGGAAGUUACUCUAAUACCGCAUACGACCUAGGGGGGAGAGGAGGGGAUCUUCUGGCCGGGUGGGGUUGAAUUAGCGGCUGUCGGAUUAGUUAGUUGGCGGGUGAAUGGCCCACCAAGGCGAGGAUCCGUGGCUGGUCGGAGAGGAUGGUCAGCGACACUGGAACUGAGACACGGUCCAGACUACUAAGGGAGGCACCAGUGGGGAAUAUUGGACAAAGGGCGCAAGUCUGAUACAGCCAUACCGCGUGGGUGAAGAAGGCCUUCGGGUUGUAAAGACCUUUUGUUGGGAAAGAAAAGCAGCAGGUUAAUACCCCGCUGUUCUGACGGUAACCAAAGAAUAAGCACCGGCUAACUUCGUG